AUCCGGGACAACAAUGAAUAUGCUUAUAGGGAAGAGGUGAAGGCUCUCGUGGGCUGAUGCAAUAAAAGUAACAUUGUUCUAAAUGUUAAUAAAACAAAGGAGAUCAUUGUAGAUUUUAGAAAGAGCCGGCAUAGUCAUAUUCCACUCAGUAUCAAGAAUGCAGCUAUAGAGGUAGGCAACAGUAUUAAGUAUCUGAGGGUAUAGAUAACUAACAAUCUGAACUGGUCUCUCCUUGUGUCAUCUUAAGUAAAAUCUGCAAACCAGCGUCUGCAUUUCCUGGAUGAGUUCUCAUCAUAUUGAUUCUAUUAGAGAUGAUGAAGAGGAAGAUUUGCCAUUCACUGUGUCAGCGUUCCGAAUAAUGCAACCAUUGAAAGCAGUACUCCAAGGCAGCCACACCACUCCAAAUGGACUCUGGAUAGCGAACAAUUAAACAACAUAAUUAAAAUGAACAAUUAGUACAAUAAAAUUCUAUUAUGGCA
Pantherophis guttatus is the source of this 479-nucleotide long non-coding RNA. RefSeq lists it as uncharacterized. The record is from RefSeq and is a predicted model, not a curated record. Lineage: Eukaryota; Metazoa; Chordata; Lepidosauria; Squamata; Colubridae.